Molecule: long non-coding RNA, 334 nt
Filed under: Musa acuminata (dwarf banana)
Lineage: Eukaryota; Viridiplantae; Streptophyta; Magnoliopsida; Zingiberales; Musaceae
Description: long non-coding RNA (MACU_LNC000884)
Source: RNAcentral
CAUAUAUAUCGUCUGGCAAUGGAGAAGACUGCAAGUGCAAAAACAAAAAAGAAGUUCAGAAUUCAGCUGAUAAAUCUCAACAGAGAUUAGAAUUCCCAAAGCUCAAGCAACUAUAAGAUGGCCAUUUCCAUGAUGUCGGGUCAUGCUUAAUUUUGCGGCCACAAUCACUAUAAUCAAACACGAAGCAGGUGGCCCAAAGGGAAGUUCAUCACCUAAACCCUAAAGCUGAAAAUGAUCGAUUCAUUACUGUUCGAAUUAGUCCCAACCAAAUACUCAUAACAACUAAGGUCCCGAACACUACUGAUCAAAGAACUAUCACACUAAAUAAUAAAAA